UGAGGAAUAUUGGUCAAUGGGCGCGAGCCUGAACCAGCCAAGUAGCGUGAAGGAUGAAGGUCCUAUGGAUUGUAAACUUCUUUUAUAGCAGAAUAAAGUGACCCACGUGUGGGUUUUUGUAUGUAUGCUAUGAAUAAGGAUCGGCUAACUCCGUGCCAGCAGCCGCGGUAAUACGGAGGAUCCGAGCGUUACCCGGAUUUAUUGGGUUUAAAGGGUGCGUAGGCGGAAAGAUAAGUCAGCCUGUGAAAGUUUGCGGCUCAACCGUAAAAUUGCAGUUGAUACUGUUUUUCUUGAGUGUACAUAAGGUAGGCGGAAUUCGUGGUGUAGCGGUGAAAUGCUUAGAUAUCACGAAGAACUCCGAUUGCGAAGGCAGCUUACCGGGGUACAACUGACGCUGAUGCACGAAAGUGUGGGUAUCAAACA
This 423-nucleotide ribosomal RNA is filed under the name uncultured bacterium. Its description in RNAcentral is "bacterial SSU rRNA". It matches the Rfam family "Bacterial small subunit ribosomal RNA", at positions 355 to 774 of the family's 1533-position model. The record is from RNAcentral.